Molecule: ribosomal RNA, 273 nt
Filed under: uncultured bacterium
Lineage: Bacteria
Description: partial 16S ribosomal RNA
Rfam family: Bacterial small subunit ribosomal RNA
Source: RNAcentral
UACGGAGGGUGCAAGCGUUAAUCGGAAUUACUGGGCGUAAAGGGUGCGUAGGUGGUUUAUUAAGUUAUCUGUGAAAUCCCUGGGCUCAACCUGGGCAGGUCAGAUAAGACUGAUAGACUCGAGUAUAGGAGAGGGUAGUGGAAUUUCCGGUGUAGCGGUGAAAUGCGUAGAGAUCGGAAGGAACACCAGUGGCGAAGGCGGCUACCUGGCCUAAUACUGACACUGAGGCACGAAAGCGUGGGGAGCAAACAGGAUUAGAAACCCUCGUAGUCC